This 1624-nucleotide long non-coding RNA is filed under the name Homarus americanus (American lobster). RNAcentral describes it as "uncharacterized LOC121864258". The record is from RNAcentral. Lineage: Eukaryota; Metazoa; Arthropoda; Malacostraca; Decapoda; Nephropidae.
UAUCGACUUUUUGGGAAAUGUUACCUAAUUUUACGAAGUAGAUUAUCAUUGAGACCCGAGUUCGAGUCCCAGCAUUUCUCUCUUCUUUUCCUUUUUUCUGUUUUUAGUUUUUUCGUUAUGGGACACUAUUUUCGCUGUAUUAUAUUCUAAAAGUUAAUCAAAAGUGAAAUUGGGCCAUAAAUUUGACGUUUUUAGGUAUUUUAGCGUAUAUUCAUGUUCAAAGCUUCGAAUGUUUCAAUGAAUCAUCAAAAUGAUUCAAUGAAGCUUCGUGACGUCACUCUCAACCUUCAUAUAUAAAGUCUCGACCAACCCAUUUUCGGCCCAUUCUUCACCGACCGCUCCCCACUCACUGGCUGCAGCUGACAAGCAGGUGUCAGCUGAUGUACGUGAAGGCCAAUGUUGAAGUGACAGAACCUUGAGCAAGAUUUAACAAGCAGCAUGUUACUUCAGCCUCAUCAGUGACAGCUGAUGUACUUGAAGGCCAGUGGAGAAGUGACAGAACCUAGAGCAAGAUUUAACAUCCAGCAUGUUACUUCAGCCUCAUCAGUUAAGUUACUUGUAUAUCUUGGCUAGUACGGUCAUCCCAUAAUCCACUCAACACUAGACUCCUACACUGAGCAGUGGGGGGGGGGGGCCUAGCUGACUGUGUUGGAGGGCUGUGUGGACUGAAGGUAGUCUGAUAUUAGAGUAAAUUAAUAUUCGUUGUAGUGAAAGUAUAAAUAUACAGGACUAUAUGCCUAUUGGUUAUUAGAGAAAACUAGUAGUAGUAAAUAUAGCAAGUAAAGCAAGUUGUUGUGGUUGGGUUUCAAUUAACUUUACUAACCUAACCAUCGUAACUUCGAUUAAACUAACCUGGACUGAACCAAAUCAGUAUUAAGCUAUCUAUUGUAUAAAAACCUUUUUUUUGUCCAAAACAUUUAAAGAACCUUAAUUCAAACUAUUUUAUGAGCCACUUACGUUUACUGAUCAUGAAUACAGAAAGUUAAUUUUCAAGUUAAAUAAAAUUGACUUUUGUAAAUUAUUAAAAUUUGAUAACUUGUGUAUAGUUGGAGUCUGUUUAAAUACAGCUGGUAGAAGGGUAUCGCCUUUUUCACCUUCAUUCUACAUUAAUAACUCGAAAUAUAUUGUACGUGACAGAUGAUGUACUGGAAGGCCAACGUAGAUGAAGUGACAGAAGCAACCUUGAGCAAGAGGUAACACAUGUUAAUUCAGCCUCCCCAGUUAAGUUACAUAUGUCUUCGUAUGGCUAUCCCAAAAACCACGAUGUAAGAAUGAAAAUGAGUGACUUGCUUUGUGAGAAGGGUUGGGGCACUCGUACGUUGGGCAGUGGAGGGGCGCUCGUGCACCGGCGGUGGUGGUGUGCUCAUACAACGGUUGAAAGUGAAUGUCAUAAAUUUGAGUAAAAUGGCAUGUACUGCGAAGGAAUGUUGUGGAUGAUGCCUGUGAGAAGACUGCUGCAGCCAUAAGAGCAGGAAUGUUGGUGCUCAGGUGUAAGGUGUUAUAGGAGGGUGCUCAAGUGUAUGGAUAAAUGUAAAGAUGCAAGUAUAGAAUGCAAGAAAUUUGGUGUAAAUGUUGUGUAUUAGUGAUACAUUAAUGUUAAUUAAGACUAAUCUACAUACAAAUC